Cavia porcellus (domestic guinea pig) is the source of this 72-nucleotide transfer RNA. It matches the Rfam family "tRNA". From Rfam's summary of the family: Transfer RNA (tRNA) molecules are approximately 80 nucleotides in length. Their secondary structure includes four short double-helical elements and three loops (D, anti-codon, and T loops). Lineage: Eukaryota; Metazoa; Chordata; Mammalia; Rodentia; Caviidae. The record is from Rfam.
GGGGAUUUAGCUCAGUGGUAUAAGUACCUGCCUUGCAAGCAGGCAGGUCGUGAGUUCGAUUCCUGAUCCCCA